GAUGAACGCUGGCGGCGUGCCUAACACAUGCAAGUCGAGCGGAGACAGUGAGUAGCUUGCUAUGAGCCGUUUUAGCGGCGGACGGGUGAGUAACGCGUGAGCAACCUUUCCCAGACAGGGGAAUAACACACCGAAAGGUGUACUAAUACCGCAUAAGACCACGGGAUCACAUGGUUCUGGGGUAAAAGAUUUAUCGGUUUGGGGUGGGCUCGCGUCCGAUUAGGUAGUUGGUGAGGUAACGGCCCACCAAGCCGACGAUCGGUAGCCGACCUGAGAGGGUGAUCGGCCACAUUGGGACUGAGACACGGCCCAAACUCCUACGGGAGGCAGCAGUGGGGAAUAUUGGGCAAUGGAGGAAACUCUGACCCAGCAACGCCGCGUGGAGGAAGAAGGUUUUCGGAUCGUAAACUCCUGUCCUUGGAGACGAGUAGAAGACGGUAUCCAAGGAGGAAGCCCCGGCUAACUACGUG
This 470-nucleotide ribosomal RNA is filed under the name uncultured bacterium. Its description in RNAcentral is "bacterial SSU rRNA". It matches the Rfam family "Bacterial small subunit ribosomal RNA", at positions 28 to 507 of the family's 1533-position model. The record is from RNAcentral.